Molecule: long non-coding RNA, 234 nt
Organism: Juglans regia (Persian walnut)
Lineage: Eukaryota; Viridiplantae; Streptophyta; Magnoliopsida; Fagales; Juglandaceae
Exons: 3
Source: RefSeq, a predicted model, not a curated record
GUUGUUUAUCCUUUUAGCUUUUUCGUGGUAGCAAAGAGAGACGAAGGAAGCGAUUAUCUGCAGCGCCGAUCAGGAAUGUAACCCAAACUUUUUCGUGGUAGCAGUGAGAGACGAAGGAAACGAUCAUCUGAAGCGCCGAUCAGGAAUUUAACCCAAAGAUCAGAGAGUUGCACACAAAAUCAUGGGUAGAGAUGCUCUCUCCACUCGUAUUGAGGCUAUUGACAAAAAGCUAGC